CACGUAGGGGGCGAGCGUUGUCCGGAUUUAUUGGGCGUAAAGAGCGUGUAGGCGGCUUUGCAAGUCCGUUGUGAAAACUCGAGGCUCAACCUCGAGACGCCGGUGGAAACUGCAAAGCUAGAGUCCGGAAGAGGAGAGUGGAAUUCCUGGUGUAGCGGUGAAAUGCGCAGAUAUCAGGAAGAACACCCGUGGCGAAGGCGGCUCUCUGGGACGGUACUGACGCUGAGACGCGAAAGCGUGGGGAGCGAACAGG
Molecule: ribosomal RNA, 253 nt
Filed under: uncultured bacterium
Lineage: Bacteria
Description: partial 16S ribosomal RNA
Rfam family: Bacterial small subunit ribosomal RNA
Source: RNAcentral